AAGCAAGAAACUUGUGGUAUUAUGGUUUCGGCCCAUAACUAGGUGUAUCUUUGCACCCUUGCUUU
This 65-nucleotide transfer RNA is filed under the name Pseudanodonta complanata. RNAcentral describes it as "tRNA-Arg". The record is from RNAcentral. Lineage: Eukaryota; Metazoa; Mollusca; Bivalvia; Unionida; Unionidae.